RNAcentral lists this RNase P RNA (324 nucleotides) under Pseudobdellovibrionaceae bacterium. RNAcentral's name for it is "Bdellovibrionaceae bacterium RNase P RNA component class A". It matches the Rfam family "Bacterial RNase P class A". From Rfam's summary of the family: Ribonuclease P (RNase P) is a ubiquitous endoribonuclease, found in archaea, bacteria and eukarya as well as chloroplasts and mitochondria. Its best characterised activity is the generation of mature 5'-ends of tRNAs by cleaving the 5'-leader elements of precursor-tRNAs. Lineage: Bacteria; Pseudomonadati; Bdellovibrionota; Bdellovibrionia; Bdellovibrionales; Pseudobdellovibrionaceae. The record is from RNAcentral.
AAGGAUAAACAAAAGCUCGCUUUACUUUAAGUGAAGAGGAAAGUCCGGACUCCUUCAGCAGUGCAAAGGCUAAUGGCCUUCCACCGAAAGGUGAGGACAAGUGGAACAGAAAGCAGAUCCAGCAAGUCUAACUUGGCUGGAGUGAAAUCAGCUAAACUCUGCAUGGAGCGAGAUCAAAUAAGAAGGCUAUACUUUUGCUGAGAGUUUGCGCCUUCGGGUCGAUCGCAAGAGGGCUUUGGCAACAAAGCUCCUAGAUGAAUGAGCUUUUCCCUUUUUUUGGCAAAAAAAGGAAGACAGAAUCCGGCUUAUCGCUUAUCCUUCAAU